CUCCCCUCCCAGCCUCCCGGGAGCCGUCUACUUAUUCGGUCUUCCGGGCCGCAAGGAGGCUGCCGAAUCCCGCGUUGAAAUUCUCUUCCCCUCGGAAGGGAAGGACCUUUGCUGGCUGCGAGCUCCUGGGAAGAGGCCUGAACACACUGAAGAAAAGGACUGUCAUUUCCAAUCAUCCUAACAAACAUGAAUUACACCCGAUUCAUCACAGCAGUCAGUGCAGCAAGAAAGCCAUCUCCAAUAAGGCUCCUGACUGAACUGAUGCAGAAAUCACCACCAUCACUCAUUUCCUUGGCUGGAGGAGCUCCAAAUCCUAACACUUUCCCCUUUAAGACUGCAAAGAUCACCAUAGACGAUGGAACUGCCAUUGAAUUUGGGGAAGAUUUAAUGAAGAGAGCGCUUCAAUAUUCUGCCUCAGCAGGGAUUCCAGAGUUGUUGUCCUGGCUGAAAAAGUUUCAGAAUAACCUCCACAAACCCCUCACUGCAGAGUUCAGUCCUGACCAAGGACAAAUGGAGAUAUGCGUCACCACUGGGAGCCAAGAAGGCCUUUGUAAAGUAUUUGAGAUGCUCAUUAACCCUGGAGAUAACAUCCUCUUGGAUACACCUGCUUACCCAGGAACCCUUGCAGCUCUGAGGCCCUUGGGGUGCAACAUCAUCGGCCUGCGCAGCGACCAGGACGGCCUGAUUCCAGAUUCUCUCCGAGCAGCACUUUCCAGGUGGAGACCCGAGGAGGCCCAGAAACCUAACAGGCAGACCCCCAAGUUCCUUUACACAGUUCCAAAUGGCAGCAACCCUACAGGAACGUCCUUACCAUAUGAACGCAAAAAAGAAAUCUACGAGAUGGCAAGAAAAUAUGAUUUUCUCAUCAUAGAAGAUGAUCCAUACUAUUUUCUCCAGUUCAACAAGCCUUGGGCGCCAACAUUUCUUUCUAUGGAUACUGAUGGUCGUGUCAUAAGAACUGAUUCUUUCUCAAAAAUUCUCUCUUCAGGGUUGAGGAUAGGUUUUAUAACUGGUCCCAAGCCUCUGAUUGAUAAGAUAGUUUUGCACAUGCAAGUUUCAACAAUGCACACUAGCACUUUUACACAGCUGCUGAUUGCCCAGCUUCUGCAACAGUGGGGAGAGGAGGGUUUCCUGAAGCAUGUAGACAGGGUGAUAGCCUUCUAUAAGGGGCAGCGGGACGCCAUGCUGACAGCUGCAGACAAGUGGCUCAAAGGUUUGGCAGAAUGGCAUGUCCCUGUUGCUGGGAUGUUUUUGUGGCUUAAGAUUAAAGGUAUUUCUGAUACAAAACAACUGAUUAUGGAAAAGGCCUUACAAAAAGAGGUAUUACUAGUUCCUGGGGAUGCAUUCUCUAUUGAUGAUUCAAAGCCUAGUCCCUAUGUCAGAGCUUCCUUCUCUUUGUCUUCUCCAGAACAAAUGGACCAGGCUUUUCAGAGACUGGCUGAACUUAUAAAAGAGUCUUUAUGAAGGAAGAAAAAGCAGAAUCAUUUUACUCAUGGACUUCCACAUUGUCAAUUUUCAUAUUUCACAAAGAAGAAAUUGGUGGAACAAAGAGAAUGAAUGGCCAGAAAAAGGAGAAAGGAUGUUCUACAGGAAAAAAAUAAGGAAUAAUAAACUGGAGGAAUUCCAUGGAGACUGGAACAACCUCCAGGAAGUGAUGCAGAGUAAAAGGAGCAGAACCAGGAGAACAUUGUACACAGAGACUAAUACACUGUGGUACAAUCGAACGUAAUGGACUUCUUUAGUGGCAAUGCAGUGAUCCUGAACAACCUGGAGGAAUCUACGAGAAAGAACACUAUCCACAUUCAGAGGAAAACUGUGGGAGCAAAAACACAGAAGAAAAACAACUGCUUGAUUACAUGGGUGGAGGGGAUAUGGUUGGGGAUGCAGACUCUAAAUGAACAUCCUAGUGCAAUUAUCAAUAAUAUGGAAAUAGGUCUUGAUCAAUGACACAGUUGUAAAACCCAGUGGAAUUGUGCAUCGGCUAUGGGAAGAGAUGAGGGAAGGGAAAGAAUGUGAAUCUUGUAACCAUUGAAAAAUAUUCUAAAUUAAUUAACUUAAUUAAUUUUUUAAAGAAAAUUUCUGUUUACUGAGACAAAAAAUAAAAGGAAUCCCUGCUCUAAGAAUCCUCUAGGUUGCAAAAGUACCCAUCAGCAGAAAUAAAGAGAAUUCUUCAUCUGGAAUUUCCAACCAAAUUACAGAUCUAGUACCUAUUCCUACUAUUCUUAAAACAUAUCAGACCUUGAACUUGCAAACAAUUCAACAUAAACAGCUGCCCUUAUUGAAGAGAAAUUGCCCAUUCUCAGUUUGGGCUGUGAACUCAGCUGACUUUCCCAGCCAAAUUAAUAGUUCAAUGUGCCACAGAGGGAAAAAAUAGUUUUGAGAAUCACUAAUAUAGUUCUGGCAACAGUGUGUGGGUCUGUUGGGUAAAUCAUGAGGAAACUCACCUCCAAUGGAAUAAUGAAAAUAAUCCACUAAGAAGCAGAAGGCUAGUGAUGGACAUUCAUGGAAGAAGUGGCCACACCAAUGAAACCUCAAAUCCUAAAAGAAUUAACGCAUAAGAAUUCAUAUUUUAGCGUUGCUUGGAGAGUUUGCAAUAUUUAAUUUAAAGGAACUGUGGGAAAAUUCCUUGUCUUAAUUUGAGUUAUGCAAAAUCUGAUUUUUCUAGAGAUUUUUUAAAGUGGAGCACCCCUGUAUUUGGUGUUCAAAAUUAAUGUUUAAAUAUUUCAAACUUACAUCGAGUUGCCUCAUUUCUUGAAAAAUGAAUAAAUGCAAUCAGAAUGAAGACUGUACUUGUUAGAGCCUGGACAGUUCAAAAGAACAUAUAGGCUACAGAAACAAGUACACAGCUCUAAAAUCCCUUUCGUCUCUCAAAAUAUAUAGUCAUAUUGGAAGGAGUCCCAGAUUUGGAGUCAGAAAGUCCUGAGUUCAAAUUCAUCCUCAGACACUUCCUAGCUCUGUUAUUCUGGGCAAAUCAUUUAACCUCUGCCUCUUUUUCCUCAUCUCCUAGGGUUGCUAAAAGGAUAAAAUAAAAUGAUAAUUAUAAGACAUUUUGCAAAACUUAAAGCAAUAUAUAAAUGCUAGCUGUUAUUUACAAAAUGUUAUGGAAUUUUAAUUAUCUUUUUGGGAAAAUUGAUUGUCAUUGACCGUAGUCGAAACAAGUACCCUUUUCCUUACCCUAAAUUCACAUUCUAUCCCAUAUCUUGAUUUCCUUCCUUGCUUACACCUGAAUUGCGAUCUUCUUUGGAGUAUUAGUUGCUAUAAUUAAAAAGCAAACAUCUAAUUGAAUCAUUUAAAGAGGAAGAGUUUGGGUUCUCCCUGAAUUUUUAAAAACAUAAUUAUAAAGGCCCUUUCAAAGCACCAUAUGGUUUGUUGUAGCACAGUAAACACAUUUUUAAUGGCAUUAAGCCCAGGGAAUUCAGCUGUGAACAGCCAGAGGGAAGAAGCGAAAAAAUUAUCUAGGCCAGGGUGAUGAAGAUGGGGCGAGUUCAAAGACAAUGUGUAUAAACCUUGAAGACACACCCAGAUGCCGUGGUUUGUAACCAGCAGUAACUUCUAAAAUUAAGAACUUAUUUUUUUAAAAAAUCCAGCAGGAUAAAUAUGAAUCGAAGGGUUUUAGAACCUUUUUUAAGGAUGUAUAAACCCAACUUCAUCACAACGAGCCAAUGAAAGUGAGUGUCCCAGGACACAAAUGAGUUCGGCAUUAAUUCACUUUAUAAUUCUUUUCAUUCCUAUUGCCAACGAAUAAAAGAAUGGAUAAAAAAAAAAAGGUGAUCAUUAAGUGCUUACACUAUGUCAAGCAUUGGUCUAACAGCUGUAGAUAGAAAGUGGGGGGGGGGGGAAGCAAAUAUUCCCCCCUCCCUCCUCCCUGCCCUGAAAGAGCUUACAUUUUUAUGGGUGAGCUGGCACCCGUAGGGGAGUGGUGGCCAGGGAAGCACACUUUGGAAUAACCAAACCACACUUGGAGGAACACUGGGAUUUUUUUCCCCUGCUCAACAGAAUUUAUUGAAUUGAUAACUGGACAAGUCACGUGUGUACAAAAUGGCGCUCACAAUAGCCCAAAGCCUGGCGCUGGGAGGAGUUAGGGGCGUGGGGCAGGAAGCAGCUACUGGGCUUUCGGGGAGAAGGUCGGAGGCGUGGUUACCCAAGAGACCCCACUGGCUUUGGUCAUCAAACUCAAGCAGAGCCAAAUGCUGGGCAGGGGCAAACAAAAGGAGGGCUGAAGACCCAGCGAUUCCAACUUCCCAGUUCAUCUCUUCCUUGGUACGGUCGGUCCAGGUCCAGCUAGAAGCUCAGGGGUGUGCAGGAAAGGGGAGACACCAGGAGAGAUAAGAGGAGUUGGGGCUCCCAGGUUAGGAAAGAGGGAGCCCAUGGCCAGGCUUUCUUUGAUGCUGGUGUGGCCAGUGUGGUUGACCCUUUUGAUGACGUCCUGGUCGCCAUAGUUCAGCCUGGGUUCAAAUGUCUAUCCUGUCGACCUUGCUUAAGCCUCAUUGAAAGGCAUAAAGAAUCAUUUCAUGAUAUAUAUUACUUUGAGUUUUAAAAAUGAGGUUUCAUCUAUAUAAAAUCCUGCCCUGGGGAAAUAAUGCUAGAUUUGGGAUCAAAUGAUGGGGAUGUGAUUCCUGCCGCUCAUUGGGGAAAAAGGAGAGAGGUGUGGGCAACAAGCAUUUCCUAGGUUCCCCAUGCAGUGUCAAGCACAUUACAAAUAUUAUCGCAUUUUUUUCCCCUUACAACAGCACUAGAAAGGAGAUGCUGUUAUUAUCCUAAUUUAAGUCACUUGUUCAGAAGCACACAGCUAAGUUAGUAUCUGAGGUAGGAUUGGAACUCAAGUCUUCCUGACUCCAAGCUCAGCAUCUUCCCCACUGGGCUGCCUACCUGCCUCACUUACCACUAGGAAUAACCCUGGACAAGUCACUUGGGAGCAGCCUCAUGUUCCUCAUCUGUAAAAUGAGAACUCUUGGAGCCUCAGUGUUUUCAUCUGUAAAAUGGAGGAGCUCACUAGAUGGCCUCUAACUCUUCCAGCUAUGACCUUAUGACAUUUCUAUAUAGGAGAAAGCCUGCCAUCACAAUGGGAACAUUAAAAAAAUGUUUUUUAUGUUUAAAAUUUUUAAUUUUUUAAAAAAUGUAAGUUGUGGGGUUUUCCUGUCUUAUAAUUGAUAAUAAAAUUUGGUUCCAAGGCAAAAAGAGCAUUAUGGGCUAGGUAAUUAGGUUUAAGGGACUUGCCCAGGGUCACACAACUAGGAAGUAUCUGAAGUUAGGUUUGAUUAGGACUUCCCAUCUCUAGACCUGGCUCUUAAUCCACUGAGCUAUCUAGUUGCCUCAUUAAGCCUUUUUUUUUUUAAUGUUUUUCAAAGGAGGCACUGUGAUAUAGUGGAAAGAGCUUUGUAUUUAGUAUCUGGGAUCAAAUUCCAACUCAACUGUUUACUACCAGUAUGAACUUGAGCAAGUUCCUUUUAACUUCCCCAGAACUCAGUUUCCUUAUCUAUGAAAUGAUGAAGUUAAACUAGAUGGUCUUUAAGGUCCCAUUCAAUUCUAGGUCUAUUCCCCCAAGAAUCUAUGAAGUAAAGACUUUUCAAUGUAUUCUGUAUAGUUCUUUGAUUGUGCCUUCACUUACAGGAGAGUCCACCAGAUUCCCCAUUCUGACUCAAGGGAUUUGUUCCCCUUUGGGGGGAAAAAUCUUGGGUAAAAAUGUAGUGGGGGAAAAAUGUACUUUUUUAUAAAUAAAGAAUACAAAAAACCCAACAAUAAAAAAGGGAUUUCCCCUUUUAAGUAGAAAUAGCAUGGAAUUCUUUUGAUGAUAAAUGUGUUGCUUGAUGCACAAUAAAUGGUUUAUGCUAGCUAAUCAGAAUCCUGAUUUCUCCAGGAAAGUUGUGCCAUACAACUAAUAUAUCCCAAAAAGCAAAAAAAACAAAACAAAACAUUUCAUUUGGGGGAAAAAUUGUUAUCUUAAUGGAAUUGUAAAGUUAUAUACAUUAGAUGUAGAGUGUGUAGUAUAUUUAUCAGUCUAUAUGUCCUAUUCCUUUCUUCUGCCUUCCUCUAAUCAAAUAGCAACUUUUGAGGGCAAAUACUCUUUAGCUUGUGUCCUUGGUACCUAGCACAGCACUUCCAGUAGGUCCUUAAUAAAUGUUGCUUAAAAUCUGGAGCCCUUUCCAAAGGGCCAUAAAACUGCACACCCUUUAAUCCUGUAACACCACAACUGGGUCUGUAUCCCAAAGAGAUAAUAAAAAAGAACAAAGAAUCUUCCUGCACAAAAAUAUUUGUAGUAGCUCUUUUUGUAGUGGCACAGACUAAGAAAUUGAGGAAAUGUCCAUCAGUUGGGAAAUGGCUGAACAAAAUGUGGUCCAUAUUGUUGAUAUAUUGAUAUAUAUAUAUAUGAUAUUGAUACUAUUGUGCUAUAAGGAAUGAUAAGCAAGAUAAUUUCAGGAAAAGCUGGAAUAUCUCCAUGAACUGAUGCAGAGGGAAAUAAUCAGAACCAGGAGAACAUGGUACAUAGUGUAUUUUAAUAAGAAUCCAAGAUUUUGAAAUUUUUUUCGAGAAAGAUCUUCAAGGAAGAAGCUUGCUAACUCCUAAAUCCAAAGAAUGAACUGUUGCAGAAAGAUGCCAGAAAACCUACACUACAUCAAGAAGAUCAAGAAUGAACUUUGGAUGUGGUUGAUUGAACUGAAGUUUGAUUGAACAUGUAUUUUAAAUGUACACUUUUAUGCCAAAGGGGACUGCCCCUAAUUUGGCUUUUUGUCAGUGCACCUAGCAAAACAUUGUAUUUGCUUUCUCUCUUUUCUAUUUCUCCCUAACUAUUGUGAUUUCCUCUUAGAAACUGAAUAUUGUAUACAUCUGUAGUUAGAAGUGCUUUAGGACUACAAGAUGAUUAUGUUAAAUGAUUAAUGGGGAGACUAGUCUCCCAAUGAUCAUCAGGGGGAAUUGUAAAUGUUAAAUUACUCCACCCUACUUAAACCUUAUUGUAGGGGAAGAUAAAGUUGUAAUCUCCUGAUUGAACAAUGAAGGUACUUAGUUCUAACCUUAUAGUAAAGCUAGAACACUAAGCUAAGUCUAUUUUUAGAUCUUAAUACAAGAAGGUGUUAAUCCAAAAACAUGUUAAGUAACUAUAGAGGUUAAAUUAAUCACAAAAAGGUCAAGUAAGUAACAAAAGGUGAACUUAACAAAGAAGUGUUAAGUAACUCAAAAGCUAUAAUCUAAUCAAAGAAGGUGAGAACUAAAAGUAUGGGCAGUCCUGGAGAAAGCCUUUGAUGUAAUUGGUAGAUAUGAAAGUUUAGAGGAGGAGACACAAGGGUGAAAGGUCUAUAUAUUUGGGAUUUUUCAUCUCUCAAAAAAUAAUACUCUCUUUCUCUUAUUGGCGGUGGAAAGUUAGCUGAGAGGAGCGUGCUGAGCCUUUCAGCAUCUUAGCCUGACUACAAGCUAUUGUCCGGUUCGGUGGUGAGUUUCUGUCUGAGUUUUCCUCCUUUAUUUUCCAACUUUAUCCUCCUAGAAGCCUCUAAUCUUCCUCAGAGACCUAGAGGCAGGGAUUUUUAAAUUCCCCCUGGCCAGGCGGGAGAAAUCCUAUAUCCCCUUCCUUCCCUCUCCUUAAUUCCUCCCCUCUAUAUUAAUUAAAUUACCAUAAGAUAACAAGACUGACUUUAUUUUAUUUGGGAUUUCCCCUGGUGACCAAUUAAAUCUAGAUUUUAAGUCACAAAUCGAAAUUCAUCUUUACAAUAGUAAUAGCUAUAUUGUGAGGUGAUCAACUGUGAAAACUUGGCUACUCUCAGGGAUACAACAAUUUGAGAUAAUCCUAAAAAAUUAUGACAAUGCUAUCCACCUCCAGAGAAAGAACUGUUGGAGUUGGAUACAGAUCAAAGCAUAUUAUCUUUCACAUCAGUGUAUUUAUGGUUUUAUUUUGGUGUUUUGCUUUUGUAUGAAUGUGCUCUUGCAACAAUGACCAAUAUGGGGGUGUGUUUUACAUGAUAAAUAAGUGAAUGUUGUAAGGGUUAAAUUGGAGUUUUGACUAAACAAGAGAGUUAUAAAUUCAAUGUUGUGGUUGUCAAAAUAAAAAUAUUAUCCCUGAGCCAUAAAAAAAACUGUUAGCAGCUUUUAUUUAUAAAGAGGAAAGGAAAAAGUUGAAGUAUAAAAUGUAGGAGGGAAAGAGAUAAGGAAUUGCCUAGCCUACCCUAAGUCCUGAUCCAAUGAAAUUCAGCUCACUCCCUGACAAAGUUCCAAUCUCCAUGUGUAAGUCACUCACCAGCAAGCAGAUGCAGGAUCUAAGGAAAAGAGUCUCUCCACAGAACUCAUGCUGAAGGGUGUGUCCCACGGUCAACGAGCAAAGAGGGUCUCCUUGCAGAGCAAUCAAGGCAGGAAUCUCUCCUGAGAGUCCUGAGGAGACAUUCAAAGGAGAAGUGUCAAGCAGCAGUCCUUCAAAAAAGAAGUCCAAAGGAGAAGAGACAAAGACAGUGUAAGGAGCAAAAAGGGUUAAUUAUAUAAAAAGGUUUGACUGGAUUAUAUUUAAAAUAAGGUAGAGAAGAAUUCAAUUUAUUCCAAAGAGAUUUAUUUACUAAAUUUAUUUACAAAAUAUUGGAAGAAUGAAGAAGGAAAUCAGAGAGAGGAUAGGGUAAGAUAUCUAGCCUAAGCACUAAGUAACUUACUCCCAGCCCUGGCUCAACCUGGGCAGGGAGAAUUAGUCCUUAGGCCUCAGCAAAGAUGAGGACCUGGAGAAGUCUCUCUCAAGAGGUAAGGCUCUCCUGAGGCUAGUUUGUUUGUUUGUUUUCAGAAAAUCCAGCAGUUAAGAGUCAGUUUUUCACACACCAUGUGUCAGUUCAAAGGAAGAGAUUUUAGAACAGCCUCACCAGAAGCAGGGUCUCAGGUCCAGUCAGCAGAUUUUCCACCAGCCAGUAGCACUGAACUCAGGAAGUUGUCACUCCCUUUUAAAGACACUUUCUUUUGUGUCACUUCCUGUGUCUUCCUCCACUUUUUAUGUGGACAAAUCAUAAUCUAGGACUGCCCAGGAGGCAGUCAGUCAACUCUGAUUUAUUGCCCACUAUUGCACAUAUGGGUCACAGACCUCCCACUUAAUAAUUAAGUGGGAUGUUUACACUUUUGGUGAUUAAAUCUAAAAAUAGGCAGGGGUUAAAAUUUAAUCUUCACAAUCAGGGGAGAGUUAAAUUUAAUCUUCACAACAGGAAUUUCCAGACUUUUUAUAGUCCCUUUUCCACAUCACUUCCUGUCCCUUCCCCUCUUCACAGGGGCCAAUCACAGCUUCCAAAUUGCCUAGUGCUGUCCAGGGGGGCAGUGUCUGUAGGAUCCACCUCUCAUCCUCUGAGGGUAUAAACUCUUAUCAAAGGAUUCACAAGUUUCUGACUGAUUGAGUUAAAAGGAUGGAGAUCUCUAAGUAAGUGACUUGUCAAUUCUCUUACUUGAUGGUUAAGUAGGGAUUUCUUGAUUGAUUAACUCAAAAUAGACAAAGAGAAUGAAGAAUUUCCUUUCACAGUGUUGCCUGAAUGAACGAAUGGAUGUUACAUAAGUAUGUGCCAUAAAUUGUUCUUCACAUUACCUAUCUUUUAUCUAUUCAUUCAUCAGUGCCUCUUCGAAAACAGUCAUAUAAAACUCAGUUGGCAUCAUUAUUUCCUAAGAUAUGGCCAUCAUUUAAGGUUAAGAAAGUUUCUGGGACAAAACAUACAAAGAGGUAAAAUGAUCCAUUUUUCUUUGAUUGGCAUGUAUGAUAGUGCUGUAAUGAAAAGUAGGGACUGCCUUACUAAAUGGUAGAUAUGUAUAUACAGUGUCUUUUAAGUAUUUUAGAUGUCUAAUAGUCACUGCUCAUGAAGUUCUGAUGGCUCCCCAAUUUCUCUAAGAUAAAAUAUAGUCAUAUUUUGGCAUUGAAAGUCCUUCAUUGUCUGGCUCCAGUCUGCCUUUUAAGUCUUACCAUAUAUUACACUCUUCACUCCUCUGACCUUUUUACUGUUCCACAAGUAAAACAUUUCAUCUUCAGCCUCCAGUAUCUUGACAUAGUCCCCCAUACCUAAAAUGGACUUAUCUUCUCACUUCACCUCUUGUCACUUCUUUUAUUCAAGGACACCUUUUACAAAAAGCCUCUCCAAAAUUCUUAGUGUUCCCCUUCCCCAAUGACUUUGUGGCUCAGUGGAUAGAAUAUCAGUCCUAGAGUUAGGAAUUUCUGAGUUCAAACCUGGUUUCAGAUACUUACUUCCUAUGUGAUCCUGGACACAUCACUUAAACCUGUUUGCCUCAGUUUCCUCAUUAGUAAAAUGUGGAUAAUAAUAGCAUCUAUCUCCCCUGACUAUCAUGAAGAUCAAAUGAGAUAAUAAUUGUAAAGCACUUAGCACACGUUUUCACAACCACUUUAAUUGUGCGCCUUCUCUCCUCAGGGAUCAAGGUGGUAAAAGAGGACACAAUCACAGUUUCAGACGUUUUUAUACUUAGGUUCAUAUUAUAUCUUCUCAGUAAAUAUCCCUUUUUAACAUUAAUUUGGUCAUUGAUGUUGAAAAUUUUGCUAGCAAUUGAUAUUAGGGAAGGUGGCAACUGGUCAAACUAACAAUAGAGACAAAGUAACUUACUGAAUAAUAUUAGGGGGGGUAGAUAAAUGAAAUAGGAGAUCAUGAACAAUAUUAGGGGGGAAAUUGUCCCAACCCCCUAGGAUUAGUUCAAGAACCUGAGGGGGAGAAGUAUCCAAAAUCUGGGAACCAACCUGCCCGUGGAGUGGAGAUCAAUAGAGUGGGGCCACAAUCUAUAUGUUAA
This is a non-coding RNA of Monodelphis domestica (gray short-tailed opossum), 10728 nucleotides long. The record is from RefSeq and is a predicted model, not a curated record. NCBI's taxonomy places the organism in Eukaryota, Metazoa, Chordata, Mammalia, Didelphimorphia, Didelphidae.